RNAcentral lists this transfer RNA (70 nucleotides) under Aegithalos concinnus concinnus. RNAcentral describes it as "tRNA-Val". It matches the Rfam family "tRNA". From Rfam's summary of the family: Transfer RNA (tRNA) molecules are approximately 80 nucleotides in length. Lineage: Eukaryota; Metazoa; Chordata; Aves; Passeriformes; Aegithalidae. The record is from RNAcentral.
CAAGACGUAGCUUAACCCAAAGCACUCAGCUUACACCUGAGAGAUAUCCGUUCGAACCGGACCGUCUUGA